RNAcentral lists this transfer RNA (73 nucleotides) under Candidatus Omnitrophota bacterium. Its description in RNAcentral is "tRNA-Lys". It matches the Rfam family "tRNA". From Rfam's summary of the family: Transfer RNA (tRNA) molecules are approximately 80 nucleotides in length. Their secondary structure includes four short double-helical elements and three loops (D, anti-codon, and T loops). Lineage: Bacteria; Pseudomonadati; Candidatus Omnitrophota. The record is from RNAcentral.
GGGCCACUAGCUCAUCAGGCAGAGCACCACCCUUUUAAGGUGGGUGUGGGAGGUUCGAGUCCUCCGUGGCUCA